RNAcentral lists this transfer RNA (71 nucleotides) under Loxodonta africana (African savanna elephant). It matches the Rfam family "tRNA". From Rfam's summary of the family: Transfer RNA (tRNA) molecules are approximately 80 nucleotides in length. Their secondary structure includes four short double-helical elements and three loops (D, anti-codon, and T loops). Lineage: Eukaryota; Metazoa; Chordata; Mammalia; Proboscidea; Elephantidae. The record is from Rfam by way of RNAcentral.
ACAUUGGUAGUUCAGGGGUAGAAUUCUUGCCUUCCAUGUGGGAGACCUAGGUUCGAUUUCUGGCCAAUGCA